This 622-nucleotide small RNA is filed under the name Drosophila pseudoobscura pseudoobscura. RNAcentral's name for it is "GA32456". Lineage: Eukaryota; Metazoa; Arthropoda; Insecta; Diptera; Drosophilidae. The record is from RNAcentral.
UUCAAAAUAUACAGUAAAUACAGUGGCGAAUUAUUUGUGUACAAGAUCCAUAAUAUUCCUGGUUUUCGAUAGCUAUAUUUUUAUGUAGUUAUUAAAAACAACAACUGAAGUGGAAAUGUUCACGUUUCAAAAAUUUGUGUCGGUUUUUUUUUUAAAGCCCCAUGGAGGCGCCAGUGUGGAAAACACGAUCAGGAAUUCGAGUGGAUCACCAAAUAUUAUUGGUGCCUAAACGGCAUUUCUCCACGAUUUCUACAUUGGUGAAUUGCACAAGCAGGUCCAUCGUAUCCUUCAUCUGUGCAUAAAGAAAAUACCACAAUAUUACAAUUUAGUACCUUAAUUACUGUAUUUGGAUCAACAUAUGAUGAUGAUUGGAACUGCAUUUCCCAAUCACUGAAAAUGUGAACCCACCGGGAAAUGUACGUGAUGUUCAUAUUUACUGCAACAGAUUGAGAAUGUUAUUCGGCGUAAAUUGGCCCUGGAUGGUAUACCAUUCAGGCUGAGCCACUUUAAUAGCCGAAAGCUGAAGACAUUUGGACAGUCCCUAUUGUGCAGAUGCCGCAACUAUUGUAUUGAUAAGUUAGUUUUAAUUUGUAUUUGAUAUACAUCACAAAUAAUAUAUCCA